RNAcentral lists this ribosomal RNA (440 nucleotides) under uncultured bacterium. RNAcentral's name for it is "partial 16S ribosomal RNA". It matches the Rfam family "Bacterial small subunit ribosomal RNA", at positions 338 to 795 of the family's 1533-position model. The record is from RNAcentral.
CCUACGGGAGGCUGCAGUGGGGAAUAUUGGACAAUGGGGGAAACCCUGAUCCAGCGACGCCGCGUGAGUGAAGCAGUAUUUCGGUACGUAAAGCUCUAUCAGCAGGGAAGAAAAUGACGGCACCUGACUAAGAAGCCCCGGCUAACUACGUGCCAGCAGCCGCGGUAAUACGUAGGGGGCAAGCGUCAUCCGGAUUUACUGGGUGUAAUGGGAGAGUAGAAGGCAGAGCAAGGCUGGAGUGAAAUGCCGGGGCCCAACCCCCGGACUGCACUGGAAACUGCGGAGCUUGAGUGCUGGAGAGGUAAGCGGAAUGCCGGGUGUAGCGGUGAAAUGCGUAGAUAUCAGGAGGAACACCGGUGGCGAAGGCGGCUUACUGGACUGUAACUGACGUUGAGGCACGAAAGCGUGGGGAGCAAACAGGAUUAGAUACCCGUGUAGUC